GCCGAGGUAGCCAAGCCCGGACAACGGCGCUGGUCUUGAAAACCAGUGUGCUAUGCACUCAUGAGUUCAAAUCUCAUCCUCGGCGCCA
RNAcentral lists this transfer RNA (88 nucleotides) under Candidatus Thorarchaeota archaeon. RNAcentral's name for it is "tRNA-Ser". It matches the Rfam family "tRNA". Rfam says of the family: Transfer RNA (tRNA) molecules are approximately 80 nucleotides in length. Their secondary structure includes four short double-helical elements and three loops (D, anti-codon, and T loops). Lineage: Archaea; Promethearchaeati; Candidatus Thorarchaeota. The record is from RNAcentral.